AAUCACUCAGCUGACGGGCAGGCUCCUUAUCGUGGAUGCGGGAGAGGGACCACCAGAAAGGUCCCACCAAAAGCACAUCUGGGUGGAGAAUGUCCAAACAGAAGAGCUAUGUUGUCUGUUGCAACUUGAAGUGAUGAACACUCGAAGAUCUCCUGACCUCAGCCUGGGGCUGCUGAGGGUUCAGGUCCAUUUCAGAAACAGAGAAACAUGCAUAGGGGGAACCUCAAAAGAGAAAAUCUCUGUGGGUCUGAGGUUUUCCUCUGCUACUCCUCAGCCUCUCCUGCUUUCUGUUUAUUCAUCUCUUUCCUCUCUUGUAGCUGAGACAGGCUGUCUAGACAUUGCAGAUGUGGACAGAUGUUGGGUCUGUAAUUUAUAACAACGGCCUCCAGAAGGCAAUUCCAAUUUGUUUCGGACGUGAGCUAUCAGCAGUGGGCUCCUGAAACCGUGCCUGCUGCUUGCUGCCCGACCUCUCAUCAUGGUGGGCUCGUAUCCCUCUGGAACCACAGGCUCAAGGAAACUCUUUCCUCUAUAAGUUGCCUUGGUUAUGGAGUUUUAUCAUAGCAACAGAAAAGCAACUAAGACAGAGAGACAGCUGACCACGUCUGAGUAAUCACAAGGCUUUCCCAGGGUGCAACACGUCUGCAGACAGCUGGAGUAGGAGCUGGAGUGAAGGCCAGGCUGGUUCUGGUUCUGUUGCAAUGGCUAGAGAAAGUCUUCUCUAAAGGCUGCUUCCAGCUUGGAGCAUUUAGACCUCACAGAAGGGUGGACAUGGCGGGAACGUGCUUUGUAACCAGGAGCAUCGAGCAAAGAGGCUGGAGAGGUAAGUUCUGGUCCUACCACUGCCCAGGCUGACUCCUAGGUUUGUAAAACUCGCUCUGAGCAUCUACCUGCUCCUUGAAGACUUCUGUGAAAGGUCUUCCUUCUCCGUGCCUGGUGCAUUCAGCUCUGAUGCCUUCAGAGGUGAGUGGAUUUCCAUUUCCAGAGAAUGAAAAAAAAAUGAGCAGAAGCCCUGCUGAACCUGGGUGGCACUGAGAAGAUGCCUCAGAGCCCCGGGCCGCAGUUAAGGUGACGAGAUGCAGCAAUUCUUUAUGAACAUUUCAUUCCUGCUCGCUACACGACGUAAAUUAGAUGGUGUGUUACAUUCGGGCAAUAAGAGAGAUAUGUCACCACGACGCUGGCCCAUUGGAUGGAGAGGGGGUUUGGCGAAGAGCUGAAAGGAUUUCACCCUGAUGUGCACACUACUGAGUGACCCCGCUCACCAGCGGCUCCGCUGAUUGCUUUGCACCUUGCAGACUCCUCUCAGCCUCUUGCCGGCCUCGGCCUCGCUCCCUCCGGGUCUCCAGCCCACCCCGCCCCUGCCUGGCUUUCUCUUGAAGCCAAAGCCAAGAGACUUAACAGAGUCACAAAGGUCAUGAAGGGAUGUGUCUGUGGGGAGAAGCAGGGCGGAGGAACUAAAACCAAAAUAAA
This is a long non-coding RNA of Grammomys surdaster, 1467 nucleotides long. RefSeq lists it as uncharacterized. The transcript is spliced from 6 exons. The record is from RefSeq and is a predicted model, not a curated record. Lineage: Eukaryota; Metazoa; Chordata; Mammalia; Rodentia; Muridae.